CCGACGGUGAGGGGCGAAGCUGGGGGCGCAAACCGGAUUAGAUACCCGGGUAGUCCCAGCAGUAAACGAUGCAGCUAUGUGUGCUGAAACCAUGGUCCACAGUGCCAAGGGAACCGUGAAGCUGGCCACCUGGGAAGUACGGUCGCAAGGCUGAAACUUAAAGGAAUUGGCGGGGGAGUACCACAACCGGUGGAGCCUGCGGUUUAAUUGGAUACAACGCCGGGAAUCUUACCGGAGGGGACAGCAGUAUGAAGGCCAGGCUAAAGACCUUGCCAGAUCAGCUGAGAGGAGGUGCAUGGCCGUCGCCAGUUCGUACCGUGAGGCAUCCUGUUUAGUCAGGCAACGAUCGAGACCCGCAGUCUUAUUUGCCAGCAUGCCCUUUGGGGUGUAUGGGUACAAUAAGACGACCGCCAGCGCUAAGCUGGAGGAAGGAGCGGGCUACGGUAGGUCAGCAUGCCCCGAAUCCUCCGGGAUACACGCGGGCUACAAUGGUCAGGACAAAAGGUACCGACCUCGAAAGAGUGAGGUAAUCCACAAACCUGAUCUCAGUCCGGAUCGAAGGCUGCAACUCGCCUUCGUGAAGAUGGAAUCGGUAGUAAUCGUGACUCAGAAUGUCACGGUGAAUAUGUCCCUGCUCCUUGCACACACCGCCCGU
RNAcentral lists this ribosomal RNA (655 nucleotides) under uncultured archaeon. RNAcentral describes it as "bacterial SSU rRNA". It matches the Rfam family "Archaeal small subunit ribosomal RNA", at positions 691 to 1353 of the family's 1478-position model. The record is from RNAcentral.